This 518-nucleotide long non-coding RNA is filed under the name Trifolium pratense (red clover). RNAcentral describes it as "long non-coding RNA (TPRA_LNC004675)". The record is from RNAcentral. Lineage: Eukaryota; Viridiplantae; Streptophyta; Magnoliopsida; Fabales; Fabaceae.
UCGUGCAUUCAAUACAUUAAAAAUAUAAAAAGUUGUUUUUAUCGACAUUAACUUUAUGUUUUAUUUCUAUUUUUUGUAUGUUUAACAAGUGCACCCGGUGCACCGUUUAACAUGACCCUAAAAUAAAUUAUUAUGCUUUCCACGAGUUUGUACUCUUUUUUCUCUAUUUUUACACAUCAAUAGUGAGUGGUGCUACAACUACAAGUGACCGAUAGAUUUUGAGAUAUCAACAUGGUUAAGAUGCCUCUUCCCUACAGGCUACAGUUGAUAUGAAAAUACUAUUUCAUUUAAGCACACAGCCAUUAAUUGCAAUCCCAAAGAUAACCAUGUACUUAAUUACAUUCCAUAUAUAUAUAUGUACAUAUGGUAUCACCAUUAUCAAAGUUCUGUCCUAAAUUGAAGUCAGAAGCCCGCUUAAACUGGCGGCAAAAGCAGCUUGUAUCAUUGCCUAAGUGUUAGGACAACUAUGCAAAAAUGUAUGAUGUAUGAACACUUUCUCUGGUCAUUCAUCAUCUGAU